UUGUCCGAAUAAUUUCUAGGUUCUUAAGCUAUCUUUCAAUCUAGCUAGACUUUACAUAGAGAAGUAGUAGUCUGGUGUCACUCUGAUAUGAGCCUCUUGAAAUUCUCCCAUACACACUCUUUCUGUUUGUAUAUAUAGUAACCAUCAUUUGCCCUUCUACGUUGAAAAGAUUUUGCAGAAGAAACGACUGUUUUCCCAUGUCUUAAGACAUACAUGCCUUUUCACUAUAUAUAUUCUGCUUCACUCUCGAAUAUAACCCUUGCUAAGCUUAACUUCUUAUAUCUUCCACAUAUAUAAUGUAACCUAUAUAGUUUCCAAGGAAUUAGUUUGUUCAAACCGGUGUUAUAAUAAUCAUUGAAGGGACUUGAUGUAGUAUAGAGUUCUUGUUCAACUCUUCUACUUUAUCAAGACUUUAAUCAUUCAUGCACCCUUCACUAGUGUUUUCUUUCUGGGGUCCUAAAAAAAAUGAAAAAUAUAUAAUCUGAAAUUUGAGAAAGUUUCAAAAUACGUUGAAUGCUUACUGAUUCAACUACCUGUUUGAUCAACUGAGCGUCCUCUAGUUGCCAGGUGUAGUUCAGCACCCCUUGAUGUAAAGAACGUUAGAAAAGCAAUCAACUGGAUCCUCUCAUUCUAUUCAUCUUCAAGGACAAAGUUUUGCAUCAACUAGCUUCAUUUGCACAUAGCCAUACCUUCAGCCAUUUGGAUCUUCCUCUUUUUUUUUCCUCCUUAAAUGUCUAUCAUCAAGUUUUUCUGAGUUAUUUAAUUAUUCUCUUUCAUUUCAUCUUUUUCAUCUCUCUUUCUUUAAUUUUUAUCACAACAUUUGUUACAUCUAUUAUUUUUCUUUUCUCGUCUUAGUUUCCAUCAUACAUCCCAUUUUUGGGGGUGAUCCGUUUAACAUUUUUCUGUCCUUUUUUUGUUCGUGAUGACCAACAACAACCACAUCCUUCACCAGGGGGCUUCUGAGGUCUAACUAGGGGAUGUCGGUGCUGCUUUUGGAAUGUGGGUCAUUUCGUUCUUAAUUACACAUGUGAAAGGUAUACAUCAAUGAACCCUCUUCUCUGAUUGAUUGUGACUUGGUUUCUGUUUGAAUAUAUUCUUUCCUAGAUUGGAUACGUGGUAGUAUGGUUUUUGUGUUUUUGAAACUCUGGAUUUAAUUUCUGUGAUGCUUGGCUGAAGCCAAAGAAUUAGAUUUAAAACUGUAUCCUUGCCAAAGAAACUAGAUAAGCUAGUUUUUCAGUCAGGAAAGUUUAUAUUGGUUUGCUUGUCAUGAAAAUAUCACUAUUCAAGGGGAAAUUAUAAAAAAAUUAAUGUGAAUCGAUCUCACAUCUCUGUCACAUAACUUUAAUUUAAAUAUUUUUUCUUAAUUUUUUAUUUUUUUUCUAUACAACCAAACUUAUCAUAAAUCCAGCUUUAUAUGUGAAUGACUUUUUUUCUUUCCUGAUCAACAUUUUUAGGGUUGUAUUUUUAUAUUGAUACGUGGAAGAAAUUACAAAGCCUAUGUUUAAUAAAUAACAUGGAUUAAUUCAAGUAGUGUAUGUUUGGUUGUCUAUAAACAACAUCUUAAAUUUAAAUUUUGUAUAUAAAAAAUACUUUUGUUAAAUGAGAUAGGGGCACCAUUAUGUGAAUAUUAUCAAUCUUUUAAAAAGAAUAAUGAUACAUCAACAUGUCUAUUAUUUCAAACACUAUCAAUAAUUGUUAUUUUUUUUCUUCUAUUACAUCAUUUCUAGGUGUUGUAUUAGGAUUUGGGGUGUCUAUUAAACUUUUUUUUUAUAAAAAAAAUACAUGUAAUCUAAAAACACUAAAUUCAAUUUUGGAAGUGAAAUUGAUGUUUAAACAAUUGUUUUUUUUAUGAGUUAGCUUCUUGUUUUGGUUUUAUGAGAUUUUUUUUAAUUUUGAUGUUUUUGAAAGACGACCAUAAUUUCUCUUCCUUCAUCUCAUAAUUAGGCAUGUGUUUAUAAUUAUAUUCGAGUUCCAUAUUCCAACUCAAACUUUGGUUUGUUCAUUAGCUUUAGGGCUAGCUUGUUUGGUUUACACCAAAAAUUAAGUUCUCUCUCGUGAUGUGGUCUCUAUUAUCAGUCUAUAUGAACCUUUUUUUUGAUAAUUUAAGACCAUUUUAGUGAGGCUAGAACUAUGAAGCUCACCUCCAUUAUCUUUUCCCAAAAUCUUGCACGUACGUAUCACCGAAUCUAGUUUUCACAUCUUGGGUAAAAGUUAGGAAAAAGUUGAAGCUCACCUCCAUUAUCUUUUUUUGAAGAUAACACGUAUCAAUAAUGAAUCUCGUUUGACAUCAUAUCUUGGGUAAAAGUUAGGAAAAAGUUAGAUCGUACACCUAAUUUUGAGGUGUGUGAGUGGAAGGAAGAGUGUGAUAUAAUGAAAAAUUAAAUUAUAAGAAAAAAAAAGAGAAAACAAUAAAUAUAAUAAAUGAUAUGAAAAAUGAAGAAAGAAAAAAGAAAAAUAAAAUAAAAGUGAAAUGGAGUGGAAGGUGCGAGGAUAUAUAAUAUAAUAUCCAAUCAAUUUAUGAACUGAAAACAAUACUAAUACAUGAACUAUUGGUUCAUGAAUGUUUAAAAGUAAUGAAACUUAAAUACAUUAUCAUUAUGUUUUUCCUCGUGGAAACAAUAUUUAGAAAUAUAUCUACCUUCUGUUAUUGUUUUUUCGUUAGCAGAGUUUUUAUUCUAACUUCUAAACUGCUUUUUUAAAUGCAUGUUCAAAAGAAGAAGCGACAAAAUGGAACACAGGUCUUAAUAAACUGUACCAUCCAAUGAGUUUACUACCAUGCAAAAUUGCAUAUAUAGCCGGAAGCUUAGGAAGUCCUCCAAAGAAAAAGUUGAACACAUUUUGCGGAGGAAAAGUCUAUGCGAUUCAAUGAAAGAUUGCGAAUUGAGAGGAAUUAAGUGGAAGAAGAGAAGGAAGAAGAUGAAGCACGUUGCUGACCAAGGUAUGACGUGAAAAACGUGUUGCAAAUGAAGCUAGCUGGUGCCAAACGUGUCCUUGAAGAUAAAUACAAUGAGGUGGUCCAUUUGAUUACUUUUUCUAACGUUCUUUAGAUCAAUGGGUGCUGAACUACACCAAGAAACUAGAGGACGCUCAGGUGAUCAAACAGGCACUUGAAUCAGAAGGCAUUUAACGUGUUAUACAUGGAACUUAAAUUUUUUUUCUGAAACAGAUAAUGUAAUUUUCAUUUUUCAGUUCUGAAUGGCAAUACUAGUGAGAGUGUAAACCACAAUCCACAUUGAAAGUCUUGAUAAAGAAGGGUUGAAUAAAAACUCUAUUACAUCAAUCAAGUCCCUCCAGUGAUUAUAACACUGUUUUGAAC
Molecule: long non-coding RNA, 3316 nt
Filed under: Glycine max (soybean)
Lineage: Eukaryota; Viridiplantae; Streptophyta; Magnoliopsida; Fabales; Fabaceae
Description: long non-coding RNA (GMAX_LNC002896)
Source: RNAcentral